AAAUUGAAGAGUUUGAUCAUGGCUCAGAUUGAACGCUGGCGGCAGGCCUAACACAUGCAAGUCGAGCGGUAGCACAGAAGAGCUUGCUCUUUGGGUGACGAGCGGCGGACGGGUGAGUAAUGUCUGGGAAACUGCCUGAUGGAGGGGGAUAACUACUGGAAACGGUAGCUAAUACCGCAUAACCUCGCAAGAGCAAAGAGGGGGACCUUAGGGCCUCUCGCCAUCAGAUGUGCCCAGAUGGGAUUAGCUAGUAGGUGAGGUAAUGGCUCACCUAGGCGACGAUCCCUAGCUGGUCUGAGAGGAUGACCAGCCACACUGGAACUGAGACACGGUCCAGACUCCUACGGGAGGCAGCAGUGGGGAAUAUUGCACAAUGGGCGCAAGCCUGAUGCAGCCAUGCCGCGUGUGUGAAGAAGGCCUUCGGGUUGUAAAGCACUUUCAGCGGGGAGGAAGGCAGUAAGGUUAAUAACCUUGCUGAUUGACGUUACCCGCAGAAGAAGCACCGGCUAACUCCGUGCCAGCAGCCGCGGUAAUACGGAGGGUGCAAGCGUUAAUCGGAAUGACUGGGCGUAAAGCGCACGCAGGCGGUCUGUUAAGUUGGAUGUGAAAUCCCCGGGCUUAACCUGGGAACUGCAUUCAAAACUGACAGGCUAGAGUCUUGUAGAGGGGGGGGUAGAAUUCCAGGUGUAGCGGUGAAAUGCGUAGAGAUCUGGAGGAAUACCGGUGGCGAAGGCGGCCCCCCUGGACAAAGACUGACGCUCAGGUGCGAAAGCGUGGGGAGCAAACAGGAUUAGAUACCCUGGUAGUCCACGCUGUAAACGAUGUCGAUUUGGAGGUUGUGCCCUUGAGGCGUGGCUUCCGGAGCUAACGCGUUAAAUCGACCGCCUGGGGAGUACGGCCGCAAGGUUAAAACUCAAAUGAAUUGACGGGGGCCCGCACAAGCGGUGGAGCAUGUGGUUUAAUUCGAUGCAACGCGAAGAACCUUACCUACUCUUGACAUCCAGAGAACUUAGCAGAGAUGCUUUGGUGCCUUCGGGAACUCUGAGACAGGUGCUGCAUGGCUGUCGUCAGCUCGUGUUGUGAAAUGUUGGGUUAAGUCCCGCAACGAGCGCAACCCUUAUCCUUUGUUGCCAGCGAUUCGGUCGGGAACUCAAAGGAGACUGCCGGUGAUAAACCGGAGGAAGGUGGGGAUGACGUCAAGUCAUCAUGGCCCUUACGAGUAGGGCUACACACGUGCUACAAUGGCGUAUACAAAGAGAAGCGACCUCGCGAGAGCAAGCGGACCUCAUAAAGUACGUCGUAGUCCGGAUUGGAGUCUGCAACUCGACUCCAUGAAGUCGGAAUCGCUAGUAAUCGUAGAUCAGAAUGCUACGGUGAAUACGUUCCCGGGCCUUGUACACACCGCCCGUCACACCAUGGGAGUGGGUUGCAAAAGAAGUAGGUAGCUUAACCUUCGGGAGGGCGCUUACCACUUUGUGAUUCAUGACUGGGGUGAAGUCGUAACAAGGUAACCGUAGGGGAACCUGCGGUUGGAUCACCUCCUUACCAAGAAG
This 1553-nucleotide ribosomal RNA is filed under the name Pectobacterium brasiliense. RNAcentral describes it as "bacterial SSU rRNA". It matches the Rfam family "Bacterial small subunit ribosomal RNA". The record is from RNAcentral. Lineage: Bacteria; Pseudomonadati; Pseudomonadota; Gammaproteobacteria; Enterobacterales; Pectobacteriaceae.